Molecule: ribosomal RNA, 477 nt
Filed under: uncultured bacterium
Lineage: Bacteria
Description: partial 16S ribosomal RNA
Rfam family: Bacterial small subunit ribosomal RNA
Source: RNAcentral
AAUCAACGCUGGCGGCGUGCAUAACACAUGCAAGUCGAACGAUGAAGAUUAAAAGAUUUCUUCGGAAUGAACUUAAUUGGAUUAGUGGCGGACGGGUGAGUAACGCGUGAGUAACCUGCCUUGUACAAGGGGAUAGCCGUUGGAAACGACGAAUAAUACCCUAUGACAUCAAAUAAUCGCAUGAUAAUUUGAUCAAAGAUUUAUCGGUAUAAGAUGGACUCGCGUCUGAUUAGCUAGUUGGUAGAGUAAAAGCCUACCAAGGCAACGAUCAGUAGCCGGCUUGAGAGAGUGUGCGGCCACAUUGGGACUGAGACACGGCCCAGACUCCUACGGGAGGCAGCAGUGGGGAAUUUUGCACAAUGGGGGAAACCCUGAUGCAGCGACGCCGCGUGAUUUAGAAGGCCUUCGGGUUGUAAAAAUCUUUUGUAUGGGAAGAAAAUGACAGUACCAUACGAAUAAGGACCGGCUAAUUACGUG